AACGUAGGUGGCAAGCGUUAUCCGGAUUCACUGGGCGUAAAGCGCGUGCAGGUGGCCUUGUAAGUUGGACGUUAAAUUUCCCGGCUUAACCGGGAAGGGCCGUUCAAUACUGCGGGGCUUGAGGGCAGAAGAGGGGGGUGGAAUUGCUGGUGUAGUGGUGAAAUGCGUAGAUAUCAGCAGGAACACCUGUGGCGAAAGCGGCCCCCUGGUCUGCUCCUGACACUCAGACGCGAAAGCUAGGGGAGUGAAC
RNAcentral lists this ribosomal RNA (250 nucleotides) under uncultured bacterium. Its description in RNAcentral is "partial 16S ribosomal RNA". It matches the Rfam family "Bacterial small subunit ribosomal RNA", at positions 524 to 773 of the family's 1533-position model. The record is from RNAcentral.